GAUUAACGCUGGCGGCGUGCCUAACACAUGCAAGUCGAACGAGGUAGCAAUACCUAGUGGCAGACGGGUGAGUAACGCGUGGUCAACCUACCGUUGAGUGGGGGAUAACUAGCCGAAAGGUUAGCUAAUACCGCAUACGUCUCCGAGUGGCAUCACUUGGACGAUAAAAGGAGCAAUCCGCUCGAUGACGGGACCGCGUCCCAUUAGCUAGACGGUGGGGUAACGGCCUACCAUGGCACCGAUGGGUAGCUGGUUCGAGAGAGCGACCAGCCACACUGGGACUGAGAAACGGCCCAGACUCCUACGGGAGGCAGCAGUGAGGAAUUUUCCGCAAUGGGCGCAAGCCUGACGGAGCGACGCCGC
RNAcentral lists this ribosomal RNA (363 nucleotides) under uncultured bacterium. Its description in RNAcentral is "bacterial SSU rRNA". It matches the Rfam family "Bacterial small subunit ribosomal RNA", at positions 28 to 400 of the family's 1533-position model. The record is from RNAcentral.